RNAcentral lists this ribosomal RNA (769 nucleotides) under uncultured marine bacterium. RNAcentral's name for it is "bacterial SSU rRNA". It matches the Rfam family "Bacterial small subunit ribosomal RNA", at positions 14 to 794 of the family's 1533-position model. The record is from RNAcentral.
UGAUCCUGGCUCAGAUGAACGCUGCGCAGCUACACAUGCAGUCGACGUACAGAUAGCUGCUAUCGCUGACGAGUGGCGGACGGGUGAGUAAUACUUAGGGAUCUGCCUCUGUGUGGGGGAUAACUAUUGGAAACGAUAGCUAAUACCGCAUAAUGUCUACGGACCAAAGCGGGCUUCGGCUCGUGCGCAGAGAGGAACAUAAGCGAGAUUAGCUAGUUGGUGAGGUAAAGGCUCACCAAGGCGACGAUCUCUAGCUGUUCUGAGAGGAAGAUCAGCCACACUGGAACUGAGACACGGUCCAGACUCCUACGGGAGGCAGCAGUGGGGAAUAUUGCACAAUGGGGGAAACCCUGAUGCAGCCAUGCCGCGUGUGUGAAGAAGGCCUUCGGGUUGUAAAGCACUUUCAGUUGUGAGGAAAGUUUAGUAGUUAAUACCUGCUAGAUGUGACGUUAGCAACAGAAGAAGCACCGGCUAACUCCGUGCCAGCAGCCGCGGUAAUACGGAGGGUGCGAGCGUUAAUCGGAAUUACUGGGCGUAAAGCGCACGCAGGCGGUCCGUUAAGCUAGAUGUGAAAGCCCCGCGCUCAACGUGGGAGGGUCAUUUAGAACUGGCAGACUAGAGUCUUGGAGAGGGGAGUGGAAUUCCAGGUGUAGCGGUGAAAUGCGUAGAGAUCUGGAGGAACAUCAAUGGCGAAGGCAACUCCCUGGCCAAAGACUGACGCUCAUGUGCGAAAGUGUGGGUAGCGAACAGGAUUAGAUACCCUGGUAGU